This is a long non-coding RNA of Equus asinus (donkey), 1616 nucleotides long. The record is from Ensembl. NCBI's taxonomy places the organism in Eukaryota, Metazoa, Chordata, Mammalia, Perissodactyla, Equidae.
GCGGUCCACAGCGGACCUCGCGCCGGCGGUACCAGGCUGGGACAUCCACCCUUUGGACACCUCUGUCCCUCCGAUGCCCCAGUGAUGACCUAGGACAUGGGUCCCCAACUUCUGUCCCCUCUUAGACCCCGUCCUUCGCAGGGCCACUGGCUGCGACCACCUUGACCUGCGGCAGGACACCAGGAGAUCUCAGGCCCAGCCCGCGCCCCGACCAGCCCUUGAACAGUAUGUCCUGCCGCCCCUCCUCCCCGCUCCAGCGCCCGCUCUUCUCCCUCCGCGCCCGGCCCCUCGCGGGUCACCGGCCCCCUGCAGCCUCCGCCCCUGGCUGUGACCGCCCCGGCUGCCGUCUCCAGGGCGCGGACCGACGCGGGAAGCGGGUCGGCGAGGGACGGGGACACAGAGCGCCGAAAUCCAUGUGGAAUCCAACACUGGGAGACAAUGCUGCGAGCGAAGGAAGGAAGACAAAAAGCUAAAGGAGCAGCCCUGCCCGUCGUUCCAAUUCUCCAGAAGUUCCUGAGAACGUAUGAGAAGCACUGUGCACAGACUCGGACGUCCGUGUGCCUGGCCGUCAAGAGGGACCUGAAAGCUGGCAUUGACAAUGGACAGAUUCUCAGGAAGUUUAUACUUGUAAGACCUGAUGACUCCCCGCCAAGCAUCCCACCGAUUUCCUUGGAACCUUUGCUUAUGACAAUUCGAGAAGAGUGUUACACGCUGGGGAAAGAGAUCUGCAUCUGGGGCCUUCAACUGAGCAACCCAGAGAUUGCCAGACUCGCUUCGCUUCUGGAGUUGAAGGGGCGCAGCACCUGCCCAUUUACCACCCUAGAGCUCAUUGAUUGCAAGAUGGAUCCGUGGUCUCUCGGGAGACUUGGGGAGGCUCUGCAGUUCAGCAGUUUGCACUCUCUUGUCCUGGAUUACUGCAACUUUGGAAUUGAAGAAAUUGAGCGUAUUUUCUUGGGCCUGGAGAACAACCAAAGGCUCCAAGGCCUCAGCCUGCGUUACUGUGGUCUGGGGCCACGGAGCGGGCCAGCGCUGGGCUCAGUCGUAAGCCAGAGUGCUGUCCGUGAGCUGCACCUCGACGGCAAUUACUUGCAAUGUUCUGGAGCUCUGGCUCUGCUCAGACCCCUAGCAGAGUAUGCAGAGAUGCAGGGCAAAGGCUGGCCCACCAUAUCCUCACCAGACGCCAGGAAUCCCCCUCAGCUUCUCGGAGUCAGCCACAGAGCAAGUUCAACUUUGAACCCGAUUACAAAGUCAUCUGGAGCUGUAACAGUGAAAACUACUUCAGGGAAGAAUAAGAGAAAGAAAGGAAUCAAGAAAAAAGUUAAAGGUUUGACUGAAGCUGGUCCUUGGUUAGUGAAAUUGCAUUUGGCAGAUAAUGGCAUAGAUGGAAAAGGAAACGAAGGAGAAAAAGGCUUGUUGGAAUUCACUCAGAUUUUAACAUGGGAAAUUGACCUUGGAAACAAUGGCCUGGGAGAAAGGGCUGCUGCUGACAUACUUGAAGCACUGCGAGCCAGAAAGACAGGUAAACUGCCAGUCUUAAAACUUACAGUCACUCCUCAGAUCUCCUCAGACACCUUCCGAUCUAUUUGGAAAAAUAGCAAGAAAUCUAAUAUUACCCG